UCAGCUGCAACACAAACCCUCCUCCCUCCUGUUCGUUUCUCCUCCCUCCCGUCCGUUUCUCUCUCCUCCCCUCCCGUCCGUUUUCUUCUCUCUCCUUCGAUCUUAUUCAUCUUCUGCAAUAUCAACGUGCUCGAAAAAAUCCAUAAAAUCAAAAAAAAAAUCGAGAUCUAAUUAAGAAUUUCGAGACCUAAUCUUUGCAAAUUAUUUAUAUAUGGGGAAGAAAUCGAGUUCAGGAUCACGCUACAUCCUCUCUUAGCGGUAACCGCUGGUAACACCAGUAAUAAGAUUCUCAAUGUGAGAGGUAGCAGUACGGAUGGAAGCGGAGGUAUUCCUGGUCCAAAACCAAGAAUCGAGGUUGAGAUGCUUGAAGUUGCGGGAGAGAGUACCCAUUGGGCCUGAAACAACGAUGAUCUUGGCGUUGACCUUGAUGUCGAUCCCCUAUGGGAUUUCCAAAUGGAUCAUAUUUUGCUCAUUUUCCCAUCAAUAUAAAUUGGGAUUUGUACAAAUGGUUCAGAUAUUUUAAAAAAUAACAUGCACAUUCAUGAGGUACACUGCUCCAGGAAAAGAAGUAGGGUGGCAUGGAAAAUUGUCGAAAAGGUAGUUGGAGUUGCAGAUGCUACAACUAAAGUUGGUGCAUGGAUUUCUUUUGCUAUGUCGAUCGUUUUCAUGUCGAGUUUGUUUGGAUGGUAGUCCUCCUGCAUACCAUCUACAUAGAGGAAAUGGAACUGGGAUUAAUAAUUGGUUGGUUCAUAUUGAGGGAGGAGGUUGGUGCAACAAUGUCACAUCUUACCUCGAACGCAAGUACACUCAUCUAGGUUCAUCCUGGAAAAUGGACAAAUAGCUUGCCUUUUCGGGAAUUCUGGGAAAUAAUCCAAUGUUCAAUCCAGGUUUUAACCAAUUCUCACAUGAUGGAUUAUUCUCCAUACUUGGGGUUAAGCUUAAACUCACUUAUUUUUCCUUUAAGGCUUCUAUACUUGAGCUUUAUGAGAUAGUGUGUGCACUUAAAGGGCUGCCACAAGAGAAGUUCCAAGUAUGAGACUACUUCAAUGAGAUAAUUCCAUCAGAUAAGACUUUGGAGGAUGCGUGCUUGCAAAUGGACCAACAUGUUAUUGGUGCUUUCUUACUCUGCUUUGUACAAUGUAAUAGGAAUGAUGUAUAUUUUACCCAAAAAAUAGGAAUGAUUUAUAUUUUUUCUUUAGAUGAACUUUGUGAACAAAUUUUGUGGCAUAUUAUUUGGUGAUUAGUUACAAUAAAAUAAUUUAAAGUUA
Spinacia oleracea (spinach) is the source of this 1268-nucleotide long non-coding RNA. RefSeq lists it as uncharacterized. NCBI's taxonomy places the organism in Eukaryota, Viridiplantae, Streptophyta, Magnoliopsida, Caryophyllales, Amaranthaceae. The transcript is spliced from 8 exons. The record is from RefSeq and is a predicted model, not a curated record.